RNAcentral lists this small RNA (216 nucleotides) under Phycicoccus sp. RNAcentral describes it as "c-di-AMP sequence". It matches the Rfam family "c-di-AMP riboswitch aptamer (ydaO/yuaA leader)". Rfam says of the family: This family represents a conserved RNA structure found upstream of the ydaO and yuaA genes in Bacillus subtilis and related genes in other bacteria. The ydaO/yuaA element is thought to act as a genetic "off" switch for the ydaO and yuaA genes in its native state. It is believed that the element may be triggered during osmotic shock leading to activation of ydaO, a predicted amino acid transporter gene, and members of the yuaA-yubG operon which code for KtrA and KtrB K+ transporters. The record is from RNAcentral. Lineage: Bacteria; Bacillati; Actinomycetota; Actinomycetes; Micrococcales; Intrasporangiaceae.
GAUGUGGAAACGCCUAGUCCUGUCACCACGCCCGGGUCCACCAGCAACACCGCUUGGCAGGAGCGGGGGACCCAAUUUCGGGCCGUCUCCGGACGGUCCUUGGGGUGAAGUCCUCGUGUGAGCGCCCGCAAGGUCGGGUGGCAAACCGCGAGGGCCGGGUGAUCUACCUCCACCCGAACCCGACAGCUCACCUCGUAGGCGCUGGAGGUUCAACCA